CUCUCUGAGACUGGAUUAAAUUUGCUUUUCUGACUCCAAGUUCUGCUCUCUUAUCCCUUCACUACCAGCUACCUUUCAUUUCUGUGUAAUGGAGGUUGUGGAAUGUGCCUAUCCUUCUGUUACAAGAGAUAAAAAUGGAAUUUUCUGACUGCAAAUGAUUCCCAUGGAAUUCACCCUCCUGCAACUAUCCCAAGAGUGAAUACAACAGAAGCCAUUCUGUAGGUCUUACUUUCAUACCCCCUUUCUUUUAAGAUGGACUAAAUUUUUAAUUUUUCUCUCCUGAACCCUCCUUUCUUAUGUCCAGGUGUUCCAGUUCCUAAAAAAUAUUGUACCUCCUGUUGUCAGCAAGGGGAAGCACCAUUGCUGCUGGAGCAAAAAGGCCCCAGGAGCUCCUGUUCAGUUUCCAAUCUCCUUCUCGUGUCCACCCACGAAUAUAUUAAGUUGUGGCUACAAGAAUAUGGCACCCACAUGCUCUUAAGGCUCCUGAGAAGACAUAUUUGGUUAAUUAUUGGAGAAGGAACAGUGGACUUCCACAUUGGCCAGUGAGAUAAUUUAAACAUCUGGACACCCAUGAAGCACAUCAAACCAUGGAAAGGACCAGAUGCAUAUGCAUAC
RNAcentral lists this long non-coding RNA (615 nucleotides) under Monodelphis domestica (gray short-tailed opossum). RNAcentral's name for it is "lncRNA (ENSMODG00000036604.1)". The record is from RNAcentral. Lineage: Eukaryota; Metazoa; Chordata; Mammalia; Didelphimorphia; Didelphidae.